GUAAUCUAGUUGGGAUCACUUAAGCUUCAAGAACAACUAUGCUUGCACAUAGUUAUCAAACGAGUAAUGGUCAUAUGGUCAUAUAUAUAUGUGCAAAUCGCUAUGCAUAACUCCUCAAAGAUACACAGAAUGUAUCGUAAAAUGCUACAAAGUACGAUACUUAAGCAAAAUAAAACAUGAAAUAAAGUAAAACAAUCACAGAAUAAUGUUACGAUUUUCGGUACAAGCUAUACUGAGCUGAUUAUUAUAAGGGAAAGUGUUGUCUGUCGUAUUCACUUGGAUACGGUUGAACCAUGUAAACAAUACUCUUUGUGUGUAAAAUUUGGGAUAUUUUCUGUGUUUGAAGAGUUCUCGCUGUGCGCUGGUCGGCCAUCUUGAAAAAUAAAUUGUGAAGGUCGUAUUUCCAGCUUUCCUGCGAGACGGCAGUUCAGAUGCAGUCGUCCUGUGUGUCAGAAAGCUGGUGAUCAAAAUGGUUGAAGGCAGUACCCAAGAAAGUACAUUUACAAAGUUGUGAGGAGUAACCUAGCCUAUAUAACCUGAAGCUCACCCAAUAUGCAGUGUGUUCUGCUUUGUCAAUAACAACUCUGUAUGGCUGGUCUGACCUCAGUGGAAGUUGUUCGUUUAAAUGGUUUCGGGACAUUGAAGUAAAACAACACGAGAAUGUCCCACCAAGAGUGAAGGGCUGCCUGUUUGCUUCAGAUUCCCAGUCCUCCUCGCUGAUGAUUUCUGAAGUCCUUACGCAGUCACCCCAGUCUUCAACCUCAGUUUGUACAGAUGAGAUGCCAUACACAGGGGAUCCGACAGAAGACAGCAGACAGAAUUCGUCGAUUUAUUUGAAAUGUCAUUGUUUAUUUGAAAAAAGAUACCUAUCCACA
This is a long non-coding RNA of Mya arenaria, 875 nucleotides long. RefSeq lists it as uncharacterized. The transcript is spliced from 7 exons. The record is from RefSeq and is a predicted model, not a curated record. Lineage: Eukaryota; Metazoa; Mollusca; Bivalvia; Myida; Myidae.